RNAcentral lists this ribosomal RNA (253 nucleotides) under uncultured bacterium. RNAcentral describes it as "partial 16S ribosomal RNA". It matches the Rfam family "Bacterial small subunit ribosomal RNA", at positions 524 to 776 of the family's 1533-position model. The record is from RNAcentral.
UACGUAGGGACCGAGCGUUGUCCGGAAUCAUUGGGCGUAAAGAGCGUGUAGGCGGCCACUUAAGUCCUGCGUGAAAUCUUGCGGCUCAACCGCAAGCGGUCGUGGGAAACUGGGUGGCUAGAGUGCGGGAGAGGAGAGUGGAAUUCCUGGUGCAGCGGUGGAAUGCGCAGAUAUCAGGAAGAACACCCGUGGCGAAGGCGGCUCUCUGGAACGCAACUGACGCUGAGACGCGAAAGCGUGGGGAGCAAACAGG